GAUUAAAGUUUUUUUUUUUUUUUUUUGUAAUUACUAUUUGUACCAGUUUGUCAGAUUCAGGCCAAUUUGUCUCAUCCAACAUUAUUUACUUACUUAUUUAUUGACUUUAUUAUUAUUAGAUGUUUUUUUUGAGAAGCCACUGCCUGUCUUUUCUCUUCAGGCCAGUGCCUUCUGUUUACAAUUCAAAAGCUUGCGGUCAGUUUUAUUUAU
Sinocyclocheilus grahami is the source of this 210-nucleotide long non-coding RNA. RefSeq lists it as uncharacterized. Lineage: Eukaryota; Metazoa; Chordata; Actinopteri; Cypriniformes; Cyprinidae. The record is from RefSeq and is a predicted model, not a curated record. The transcript is spliced from 3 exons.